AACGAACGCUGGCGGCAGGCCUAACACAUGCAAGUCGAACGCUCCAGCAAUGGAGAGUGGCAGACGGGUGAGUAACACGUGGGAACCUUCCCUAUGGUUCGGAAUAGCUCAGGGAAACUUGGGGUAAUACCGGAUAAGCCCUUCGGGGGAAAGAUUUAUCGCCAUUGGAUGGGCCCGCGUCGGAUUAGCUAGUUGGUGAGGUAACGGCUCACCAAGGCGACGAUCCGUAGCUGGUCUGAGAGGAUGAUCAGCCACACUGGGACUGAGACACGGCCCAGACUCCUACGGGAGGCAGCAGUGGGGAAUAUUGGACAAUGGGCGCAAGCCUGAUCCAGCCAUGCCGCGUGAGUGACGAAGGUCUUCGGAUUGUAAAGCUCUUUUGGCGGGGACGAUAAUGACGGUACCCGCAGAAUAAGCCCCGGCUAACUUCGUG
RNAcentral lists this ribosomal RNA (433 nucleotides) under uncultured Alphaproteobacteria bacterium. Its description in RNAcentral is "bacterial SSU rRNA". It matches the Rfam family "Bacterial small subunit ribosomal RNA", at positions 29 to 507 of the family's 1533-position model. The record is from RNAcentral. Lineage: Bacteria; Pseudomonadati; Pseudomonadota; Alphaproteobacteria.